AGAGUUUGAUCCUGGCUCAGGAUGAACGCUGGCGGCGUGCCUAAUACAUGCAAGUCGAGCGAACGGACGAGAAGCUUGCUUCUCUGAUGUUAGCGGCGGACGGGUGAGUAACACGUGGAUAACCUACCUAUAAGACUGGGAUAACUUCGGGAAACCGGAGCUAAUACCGGAUAAUAUUUUGAACCGCAUGGUUCAAAAGUGAAAGACGGUCUUGCUGUCACUUAUAGAUGGAUCCGCGCUGCAUUAGCUAGUUGGUAAGGUAACGGCUUACCAAGGCAACGAUGCAUAGCCGACCUGAGAGGGUGAUCGGCCACACUGGAACUGAGACACGGUCCAGACUCCUACGGGAGGCAGCAGUAGGGAAUCUUCCGCAAUGGGCGAAAGCCUGACGGAGCAACGCCGCGUGAGUGAUGAAGGUCUUCGGAUCGUAAAACUCUGUUAUUAGGGAAGAACAUAUGUGUAAGUAACUGUGCACAUCUUGACGGUACCUAAUCAGAAAGCCACGGCUAACUACGUGCCAGCAGCCGCGGUAAUACGUAGGUGGCAAGCGUUAUCCGGAAUUAUUGGGCGUAAAGCGCGCGUAGGCGGUUUUUUAAGUCUGAUGUGAAAGCCCACGGCUCAACCGUGGAGGGUCAUUGGAAACUGGAAAACUUGAGUGCAGAAGAGGAAAGUGGAAUUCCAUGUGUAGCGGUGAAAUGCGCAGAGAUAUGGAGGAACACCAGUGGCGAAGGCGACUUUCUGGUCUGUAACUGACGCUGAUGUGCGAAAGCGUGGGGAUCAAACAGGAUUAGAUACCCUGGUAGUCCACGCCGUAAACGAUGAGUGCUAAGUGUUAGGGGGUUUCCGCCCCUUAGUGCUGCAGCUAACGCAUUAAGCACUCCGCCUGGGGAGUACGACCGCAAGGUUGAAACUCAAAGGAAUUGACGGGGACCCGCACAAGCGGUGGAGCAUGUGGUUUAAUUCGAAGCAACGCGAAGAACCUUACCAAAUCUUGACAUCCUUUGACAACUCUAGAGAUAGAGCCUUCCCCUUCGGGGGACAAAGUGACAGGUGGUGCAUGGUUGUCGUCAGCUCGUGUCGUGAGAUGUUGGGUUAAGUCCCGCAACGAGCGCAACCCUUAAGCUUAGUUGCCAUCAUUAAGUUGGGCACUCUAAGUUGACUGCCGGUGACAAACCGGAGGAAGGUGGGGAUGACGUCAAAUCAUCAUGCCCCUUAUGAUUUGGGCUACACACGUGCUACAAUGGACAAUACAAAGGGCAGCGAAACCGCGAGGUCAAGCAAAUCCCAUAAAGUUGUUCUCAGUUCGGAUUGUAGUCUGCAACUCGACUACAUGAAGCUGGAAUCGCUAGUAAUCGUAGAUCAGCAUGCUACGGUGAAUACGUUCCCGGGUCUUGUACACACCGCCCGUCACACCACGAGAGUUUGUAACACCCGAAGCCGGUGGAGUAACCUUUUAGGAGCUAGCCGUCGAAGGUGGGACAAAUGAUUGGGGUGAAGUCGUAACAAGGUAGCCGUAUCGGAAGGUGCGGCUGGAUC
This 1536-nucleotide ribosomal RNA is filed under the name Staphylococcus aureus. Its description in RNAcentral is "16S ribosomal RNA". It matches the Rfam family "Bacterial small subunit ribosomal RNA". Lineage: Bacteria; Bacillati; Bacillota; Bacilli; Caryophanales; Staphylococcaceae. RNAcentral also lists the same sequence under 1 other name. The record is from RNAcentral.